Molecule: ribosomal RNA, 255 nt
Filed under: uncultured bacterium
Lineage: Bacteria
Description: partial 16S ribosomal RNA
Rfam family: Bacterial small subunit ribosomal RNA
Source: RNAcentral
UACAGAGGGGGCAAGCGUUAUUCGGAAUUAUUGGGCGUAAAGGGCGCGUAGGCGGCAUGGCAAGUGGAUGGUGAAAUCCCUCGGCUUAACCGAGGAACUGCCGUCCAAAACUGCUUCGCUUGAGACCGGGAGAGGUGAGUGGAAUUCCCAGUGUAGCGGUGAAAUGCGUAGAUAUUGGGAGGAACACCAGUGGCGAAGGCGGGCUCACUGGACCGGUACUGACGCUGAUGCGCGAAAGCGUGGGGAGCAAACGGG